This 690-nucleotide ribosomal RNA is filed under the name uncultured Bacilli bacterium. RNAcentral describes it as "bacterial SSU rRNA". It matches the Rfam family "Bacterial small subunit ribosomal RNA", at positions 48 to 721 of the family's 1533-position model. The record is from RNAcentral. Lineage: Bacteria; Bacillati; Bacillota; Bacilli.
CUAAUACAUGCAAGUAGAACGCUGAAGAGAGGAGCUUGCUCUUCUUGGAUGAGUUGCGAACGGGUGAGUAACGCGUAGGUAACCUGCCUUGUAGCGGGGGAUAACUAUUGGAAACGAUAGCUAAUACCGCAUAACAAUGGAUGACACAUGUCAUUUAUUUGAAAGGGGCAAUUGCUCCACUACAAGAUGGACCUGCGUUGUAUUAGCUAGUAGGUGAGGUAAUGGCUCACCUAGGCGACGAUACAUAGCCGACCUGAGAGGGUGAUCGGCCACACUGGGACUGAGACACGGCCCAGACUCCUACGGGAGGCAGCAGUAGGGAAUCUUCGGCAAUGGGGGCAACCCUGACCGAGCAACGCCGCGUGAGUGAAGAAGGUUUUCGGAUCGUAAAGCUCUGUUGUAAGUCAAGAACGGGUGUGAGAGUGGAAAGUUCACACUGUGACGGUAGCUUACCAGAAAGGGACGGCUAACUACGUGCCAGCAGCCGCGGUAAUACGUAGGUCCCGAGCGUUGUCCGGAUUUAUUGGGCGUAAAGCGAGCGCAGGCGGUUUGAUAAGUCUGAAGUUAAAGGCUGUGGCUCAACCAUAGUUCGCUUUGGAAACUGUCAAACUUGAGUGCAGAAGGGGAGAGUGGAAUUCCAUGUGUAGCGGUGAAAUGCGUAGAUAUAUGGAGGAACACCGGUGGCGAAAG